CGAGGUCGUGGCGCGGGCGCCGCAGUUCUCCGAGGGCUGCAUGGUGCUGGACCUCGACCUGCCGGCCGCGGC
RNAcentral lists this transfer RNA (72 nucleotides) under Streptomyces fumigatiscleroticus. RNAcentral describes it as "tRNA-Arg". The record is from RNAcentral. Lineage: Bacteria; Bacillati; Actinomycetota; Actinomycetes; Kitasatosporales; Streptomycetaceae.